CCUGGUUGAUCCUACUAGUAGUCAUACGCUUGUCUCAAAGAUUAAGCCAUUCAUGCAUAAGUAUGAACUAAUUCAGACUGUGAAACUAUGAAUGGCUCAUUAAAUCAAUUAUAAAUUAUUUGAUGGUAUCUACUACUUGGAUAAUUGUAGUAAUUCUAGAGCUAAUACAUGUAACAAACCCUAACGUUUGGAAGGGAUGCAUUUAUUUGAUAAAUGGUUAACCUAGGCUUUGCCCAUUGCUCUAAUGAUUCAUGAAACUUGACGGAUUAGACAACUUUGUGCCAAUGAUGCAUCAUUCAAAUUUUUAUCUUAUCAAAUUUUGAUGGUAGGAUAGUGGCCUACUAUGGUGGUGACAAGUGAUGGAGAAUUAGGAUUUGAUUAUGAAGAGAGAGCCUAAGAAAUGGCUACCACAUCCAAGGUAGUAAGCACGCAAAUUACUCAAUCUUGACAUGGAGAGGUAAUGAUAAUAUAUAACAAUAUUGGACUCUAUGAAUUUAGUGAUUGGAAUGAGUACAAUCUAAAUCCUUUAACAAGGAUCCAUUGAAGGGCAAGUCUAGUGCCCGUAGCCAUGGUAAUUCUAGCUCUAAUAGCAUAUAUUUAAGUUUUUGUAGUUAAAAAAUUCAUAGUUGGAACCAGGGUUAGGUCAUCUAGUCUACCAGCGAUGUGCUCUUGGCCUUAACUAGCUGGGUCAUUCCUCUAGUGCUAUUACUUUGAAGAAAUUAGAGUUCUUAAAGCAGGCCUUUGCUUAUAUACAUUAGCAUAGGAUAACAUUAUAGGAUUUUAAUCCUAUUGUGUUGGCCUUCGAGAUCGGAAUAAUGAUUAAUAAAGAUAGUUAAGGGAAUUUGUAUUUCAUAGUCAGAGGUGAAAUUCUUGGAUUUAUGAAAUGAACAACUAUGAAAGCAUUUGCCAAGUAUGCUUUAGUAAUCAAGAAUGAAAGUUGGAAGCUCAAAGACGAUCAGAUACCAUCCCAUUCUCAACCUUAAAUAAUGCCAACCAGGGAUAGACGGAUGUUGCUUUUAGGACUCCAUCGAUUGGCACUUUUUAAGAAAUCAAAGUUUGGGUUCCGAGGGGAGUUUCAUCUCAUGGUUGAAACUUAAAGGAAUUGAUAGAAGGGCACCAUCAGAAGUGGAGCUUAUAGUUUAAUUUGACUCAGCAUGGGAAAACUUACCAAGUCCAGACAUAGCCAGGAUUGAUAGACUGAGAGCUCUUUCUUGAUUUGAAAGCUUGUGGUGCAUGGCCAUUCUUAGUUGAUGGAGUGAAUUGUCUGGUUAAUUUCAUUAACGAAUAAGAACUUAGCCUACUAACUAGCUACAUAGAGGUGAUCCUUCAUGGCUAGCUUCUUAGAGGGACCAUGGUAGCUUAGGAUAAGGAAGUUUUAGGCAAUAAUAGGUUUGUGAUGCCUUUAGAUUUUUUGGGCCUCACACACCCUACACCGAUGUAUUCAAUGAGUUUAUAGCCUUGGCCAACAAGCACGAGUAAUAUUUGAAAUUUCAUCAUGAUAGGGAUAGGUCAUUGCAAUUAUUCAUCUUCAAUGAGUAAUUUCAUCUUCGUAAGCACGAGUCAUCAGCUCACAUUGACUAUGUCUCUGCCUUUUGUACAUAUUGCCCAUCCCUCUUAUCGAUUAAAUGGUCUAGUGAAGUGUUCAAAUCAUGUUGACAUGGACGGUUUGCUACACACAACAUUGUAAGAAGUCCUUUGAACCUUAUCAUUUAGAGGAAAAGAAAGUCAUAACAAGGUUUUUAUAGGUGAACUUAUGGAAG
RNAcentral lists this ribosomal RNA (1760 nucleotides) under Durio zibethinus. RNAcentral describes it as "SSU rRNA". It matches the Rfam family "Eukaryotic small subunit ribosomal RNA". The record is from RNAcentral. Lineage: Eukaryota; Viridiplantae; Streptophyta; Magnoliopsida; Malvales; Malvaceae.